GUUUCCGUGGUGUGGUGGUAAUUACAUCCGCCUAACACACGGAACGUCCCAGGGUCGAUCCCGGCCGAAGACA
Non-coding RNA from Henosepilachna vigintioctopunctata, 73 nucleotides. The record is from the annotation of a GenBank genome assembly. NCBI's taxonomy places the organism in Eukaryota, Metazoa, Arthropoda, Insecta, Coleoptera, Coccinellidae.